This 467-nucleotide ribosomal RNA is filed under the name uncultured bacterium. Its description in RNAcentral is "partial 16S ribosomal RNA". It matches the Rfam family "Bacterial small subunit ribosomal RNA", at positions 28 to 506 of the family's 1533-position model. The record is from RNAcentral.
GACGAACGCUGGCGGCGUGCUUAACACAUGCAAGUCGAACGGAAAGGCCCUGCUUUUGUGGGGUGCUCGAGUGGCGAACGGGUGAGUAACACGUGAGUAACCUGCCCUUGACUUUGGGAUAACUUCAGGAAACUGGGGCUAAUACCGGAUAGGAGCUCCUGCUGCAUGGUGGGGGUUGGAACGUUUCGGCGGUUGGGGAUGGACUCGCGGCUUAUCAGCUUGUUGGUGGGGUAGUGGCUUACCAAGGCUUUGACGGGUAGCCGGCCUGAGAGGGUGACCGGCCACAGUGGGACUGAGGUACGGCCCAGACGCCUACGGGAGGAAGCAGUGGGGAACAGUGCAAAAUGGGCGGAAGCCGGAUGCAGCAACGCCGCGUGCGGGAUGACGGCCUUCGGGUUGUAAACCGCUUUGGCCUGUGACGAAGCGUGAGUGACGGUAAUGGGUAAAGAAGCACCGGCUAACUACGU